GUAAAACGCUCACCCGUCAUCCGGAGUUUGUUUGGUGUGUUAGACAUGGACCCCUUGUUUCCCACCUUGUGCAUUUUAGACACAAGUGUGCCACAAAAUAGGCAACAAUGCCUUCUUAAGGCUUCAAAGGAGGCUAAGGCACUGGCAUCCCGCAACACAUGCUAUAAUAGAAACAAAGUCCAGGAUAAAAAGACAGCUUGUGAGGAAGCCAAAAAGAGAUGUCAGCCCAUUACCUUGACUCCAUCAGAGGUGCAGUACCUUGGCCAGCUCCAGAUUACAUUUGGCAAAUACAACGGCCAAAGUUUUAAAUGGCUGGUGGAGAACGAUGUCGGCUACAUUAAGUAUCUGCUAGAUAUGCACAUAAAAGAACGCCGCCAUCAUGAAAGAAAAGCGAGCCCUGAUGAGUGGGUGAAGGAUCUCCUGCUGAGGUAUGUGCAGCUGUUUCCACAGGUCUCCUGCCACCUCGAGAUCAACGUGGACAGGGCCAUUUAUGGGCAGGGCCGCUUCAGGUCGUUUACAUUCCUGGAGAUGUGGCAGUGGUACAGCCUGCACAAGACUCUCCAGGCUGACCCGCAAGCUGGGACCGACCACGAGAGGAAAAUGGCACAGGAGGCGCACUGCUCUGUGCAGCAGUGGCUGGUGAUGAAGGCGGAGGACAUCACCACCAAGUCACUGAAGCGCUUCAGGCAGUACAUUCUCGACAAAGAGAAACCUCCACAGGACAGGGACCCUCCCGCAGCAGCUGCCAGCUCCAGUUCAUCAGGGUCCAAAGGUGAUGGCGGCUGGGUGGAUGACGCUCUGCUGGUGGAAGCUCUCACCUCCUUUGAAAGACAAGCAGCUGGGGAAGCUGAGGGUAGAAAAAAGUAUCCAGACAAAGAGACCCAUCCAGAUCCUCCACAGAAGCCAGCCACAGACUAUGUUUCACCGUAUACUGCUCCUGCAUCAGCUCCUGCAGCAGCUCCUCCAUCAGCUCCUGCAGCAGCUCCUGCAUCAGCUCCUCCAUCAGUUUCUGCAGCAGCUCCUCCAUCAGUUUCUGCAGCAGCUCCUCCAUCAGCUCCUGCAGCAGCUCCUCCAUCAGCUCCUGCAUCAGCUCCUCCAUCAGUUUCUGCAGCAGCUCCUCCAUCAGCUCCAUCAGUCAGAAGGCCUUUCU
Long non-coding RNA from Cyprinus carpio carpio, 1150 nucleotides. The record is from Ensembl. Lineage: Eukaryota; Metazoa; Chordata; Actinopteri; Cypriniformes; Cyprinidae.